AGUUUAAUAAUUAAAAAAUUAUAAUUAAUAAAAAAAAUUUUAAUAUAAAAAUAUUAUGGGGGUUAAAGUAUUUUUAUAAGAAAAAAAUUAUUAAUUUUAUAGUUAAUUAGUAUUGUGUAAGAAUUAUGAAAUAUUAUUAAAUAAAAAAUUAUAGAAAAGUAAAUUUUAUUUAUUGUAUCUUGUGUAUCAGAGUUUAUUAAUUAAAUUUUUUUUAUAUAAAAAUUUCUCGAAUUUAAAAGAGAUAAUUAAUUAAUAAAUUUAUUGUUGUAAAAAUAUUUUAAAUAAUUAAUUUGAAAUGAAAUGUUAUUCGUUUUUAAAUAUAUCUAGUUUUUUUAGAAAAAAAUUUAAUUUUUUAUUUAUUUUAUUAAAAAAUUAAUUGAUUAAUUUUUUAAUAAAUAAUAUAUAAUAUUUUAAGGGAUAAGCUUUAAAAUAAAAAGAUUUAAAUGAGUUAUUAUAAAAAUAAAAAUUAUAAAAUUUAUAUUGUUUAAAAAAUUUAAUUUAUUAUAAAUAAUUUUAUUAAUAAUAAAAUUUAAUAAAAAUUUAAUUUUUUUUAUAAAAAAAUAAUUUCAAAUAAAUAAAAAUUAGAAAUAAUGAUAAAAUUAGUAUAUAAUUAAUUUAUAAUUUAUUAAUUUUUAUAAAAUUAAUUUAAAGGAAUUCGACAAAAAUUUAUAUUCACUUGUUUAACAAAAACAUGUCUUUUUGAAUAAUAAUUUAAAGUCUAAUCUGCCCACUGAUUUAUAUUAAAGGGCUGCAGUAUUUUGACUGUACAAAGGUAGCAUAAUCAUUAGUCUCUUAAUUGGUGACUUGUAUGAAGGAUUGGAUGAAAUAUAUAUUGUCUCUAAAUUAAAAUUAGAAUUUAAUUUUUUAAUUAAAAAGUUAAAAUAUUUUUAAAAGACGAGAAGACCCUAUAGAGUUUUAUAAAUAAUAUAAAUAAGAUUAUAUAUAAAAAAUUCAAAUUAAAAUUAUAUUAUUUAUUUUAUUGGGGUGAUAAAAAAAUAAAUUUAACUUUUUUUUAUAUUUAUAACAUAAAUAAAUGAAUUUUUGAUCCAAAAUUUUUGAUUAAAAGAAAAAAUUACCUUAGGGAUAACAGCGUAAUUUUUUUUUUUAGUUCUUAUAAAAAGAAGAGUUUGCGACCUCGAUGUUGGAUUAAGAUAAAAUUUAAAUGCAAAAGUUUAAAAUUUUGAUCUGUUCGAUCAUUAAAAUCUUACAUGAUCUGAGUUCAAACCGGUGUAAGCCAGGUUGGUUUCUAUCUUUAGAAAAAUUUAAUAUUUUAGUACGAAAGGAUUGAAUAUUAGAAUUAAAUUUUUUUUUUUAUGAAUUUAAUUAAUUUAAUUA
This 1335-nucleotide ribosomal RNA is filed under the name Lista haraldusalis. RNAcentral's name for it is "16S ribosomal RNA". The record is from RNAcentral. Lineage: Eukaryota; Metazoa; Arthropoda; Insecta; Lepidoptera; Pyralidae.